RNAcentral lists this ribosomal RNA (468 nucleotides) under uncultured bacterium. Its description in RNAcentral is "partial 16S ribosomal RNA". It matches the Rfam family "Bacterial small subunit ribosomal RNA", at positions 28 to 507 of the family's 1533-position model. The record is from RNAcentral.
GACGAACGCUGGCGGCGUGCUUAACACAUGCAAGUCGAACGGAAAGGCCCUGCUUUUGUGGGGUGCUCGAGUGGCGAACGGGUGAGUAACACGUGAGUAACCUGCCCUUGACUUUGGGAUAACUUCAGGCAACUGGGGCUAAUACCGGAUAGGAGCUCCUGCUGCAUGGUGGGGGUUGGAAAGUUUCGGCGGUUGGGGAUGGACUCGCGGCUUAUCAGCUUGUUGGUGGGGUAGUGGCUUACCAAGGCUUUGACGGGUAGCCGGCCUGAGAGGGUGACCGGCCCCAUUGGGACGGAGAUACGGCCCGGACUCCUACGGGAGGCAGCAGUGGGGAAUAUUGCACAAUGGGCGGAGGCCUAAUGCAGCAACGCCGCGUGCGGGAUGACGGCCUUCGGGUUGUAAACCGCUUUCGCCUGUGACGAAGCGUGAGUGACGGUAAUGGGUAAAGAAGCACCGGCUAACUACGUG